This 2316-nucleotide long non-coding RNA is filed under the name Sus scrofa (pig). Its description in RNAcentral is "lncRNA (ENSSSCG00005003927.1)". The record is from RNAcentral. Lineage: Eukaryota; Metazoa; Chordata; Mammalia; Artiodactyla; Suidae.
UUUUUUUUUUUUUUUGCCAGACAUCUGUACAAGAUUUAUUUCAUUAACCACAAUGUUUUAGAGUGAUGGUAUACACCCUAAUACAGAAGGAGUGAUUCAAAAUCCAUUUAAAGGUCAGAGCCAAAGUCAAGUGGCUUUGAAGCCCCAGUCAACAACAGUUUUAUCCACCAUUUGUUUUUCUUGGAUUAAUCAAAGAGUUGACAUACAGAACACCCUGUUCUAAGCUCCACCAUGCUUCCCGCAAACAAGCACCACCACGGACCAGACUUCAUUGCUUCAUCCUUGCUCGGGCUACACUGGUGGGUGGCAAAAGCCUCUUGUCUGCAUUUGACCUCCCAUUUACUGAUAAGCGUUCCUGUCUCCAGCCCGAGUUCCCCACAACAUCGUAUCUGAAUAGUUUCUCCUGAAUUGCAUGGCUGUAAUACUGACAAACUGGACUAAUGAGGGCAAUUAAAUUGCUUUCUGUUUAACAAAACAUACCCUUCUAAGAGAAUAUCCACAGGCUUAUUGCAUUUAGUACAGUCACGACAUUGAAAUGACAUGUGAGAAUCAAUACAAAAUAUUUAUUUUUUUCAAACCGCAGAAUUCACUCCAGAGCCAUGCUAUAAAUUUCCCAGAAUUGUAAGCCAUUAACAUUUCUCUAAACAAUGCAGUCCAACCAGAAAAAAAGAUAAUUUCCAGUCAGCAGGGGUACAAUACAUAUUAGGGUCCUUUAAGGAUGUACCUCUGAUUAGCAUUUUUAAAAGAUCUCCCACAGCCACUCCACCAACAUAAGCAGAAACGGUACAUGUACUUGUGCCACUUGGCUCUGAAAACAGAGGCUUAAAAUAGGGUUUCGGCCGGUGGAGAUGAGAAAGUAUCAAUGACUUACUUAGUAAACAGUGGGGACAGAAGAGGAGGCAUUUCCCUUAAAAAGAACAAGGGUCCUUUCAAAUAACCUGGUGGCCAGAAACUGGGGCAAAUUUCAACAAAGUAAUGAAAGUAAUAGGAAAGCCAUUUCUCCAUGAACUCCUGUGGCCUCUACUCUAACUUCUGAUAAACAUGAACUUCAUCUUAUGCAAUCUUAUUGAAAACAGUCGACACAAACAAAAAGGGCCUUAUAAACCUCUUCUAGGGGUCAGUCAAGGGAUUCAUAUUCUGAUCUUAAAUAUUAAAGUCCCCUUAAGAGCCCUAAACCUGGAUUAAAGUAAACAUAAUACUCUGAAGCUCAAUGAGACACCAUUUAAAAAACAUCCAAACAAUAACUGGAUAACUAACGUAGGGGUUCUGUUUUGCUUUUUAAUUGUAAAGGUUUUUAAUAUCUUAAAUUAGUGUAUAUUCAUAAAAGAAUGUUCAAUUAUCUAAUAAUAGCUGCUUAUUAGACAACUGAAUAUUAGCUCGAGGGCAAUGUCUCUUGCAUAAAUAAUCAUGGAAAUAAUGAACUGCAAUACAACAGGAAAAAACAGAAGAAAACAGAGCCAGUCUCAAAGAGAAGAUGACAAAAUCUGGAAGGGUUACCCUGGGAGAUUAAACACCCUUGUUUAAUUAAGGGUUACCCUGGGAGAUUAAACCUUCUACGAUACUCCUACUAACUUUUUAACUCCAGAAACCAAUCGUGUUUGCGAGAUCACCAAUAUCUUCGCUAGCACAUGUGCACAGACCAUCACUGAAGUUCUCUUUUUGUGCUAAAACACUUUCAAAUCCCUCGUUCCAUCAGUACAGAAUAUUGCGAGGUGAUGUAUGUGCAAACUCUUCCUGAGGAAUUCUUUACGUGUGCAAAUUUGCAACCUGACAGAAAGCAUGGCGUACAGCGAGGGGAGUGACAGCUUCAUAGGGCUGUAGCGCCGGAGAUGCACCUGCAGUGUUAACGACCACGGGCAUCCACUCUCCACAAUCACACUCACAAAUCGGCUUGCAUCCCAUCCCCAAAGGAAGGGAGGGGAAAUGCCUCAAACUUUGUAAAAGGGUCAGAAAAAAAACAGCUUUUCCACAAAAUUUAAUAAUGCACAACUCAUGCAUCCAGGUUUGUGUUUCUGCUAACUCUAGCUAAAAACUAGCAGGUUAAGAGGCACAACACCAGGUCCACAGAAAACAAAGCAGGUUAAGGUGCAGCUGUGACAAGAGAGGACAUGAGAUGACACUGUUAACCGAAGCUUAAGGCCAACCUUAAAAAUAAGCACCACCUCUCAAAACAACCACCAUCUACUGAUGUUGACACGUCAUCAACCCACGACAAGUGAACUGGCUUUCUCUGGAGGGUCUCGUUUGAGGCUGCACAUCCACACACUGGUCAGUUCGGCCAAACCAACUGCAUGUGUGGAUUCACGGGACAAUCAA